RNAcentral lists this transfer RNA (90 nucleotides) under Nitrospirota bacterium. RNAcentral describes it as "Nitrospirae bacterium (marine sediment metagenome) tRNA-Ser". It matches the Rfam family "tRNA". Rfam says of the family: Transfer RNA (tRNA) molecules are approximately 80 nucleotides in length. Their secondary structure includes four short double-helical elements and three loops (D, anti-codon, and T loops). Lineage: Bacteria; Pseudomonadati; Nitrospirota. RNAcentral also lists the same sequence under 2 other names. The record is from RNAcentral.
GGAGAGAUGGCUGAGCGGUCGAAAGCGAUAGUCUUGAAAACUAUUGUCCCUUCACGGGGACCCAGGGUUCGAAUCCCUGUCUCUCCGCCA